UACGAAGGGGGCUAGCGUUGCUCGGAAUCACUGGGCGUAAAGCGCACGUAGGCGGCUUUUUAAGUCAGGGGUGAAAUCCUGGAGCUCAACUCCAGAACUGCCUUUGAUACUGAGAAGCUCGAGUCCGGGAGAGGUGAGUGGAACUGCGAGUGUAGAGGUGAAAUUCGUAGAUAUUCGCAAGAACACCAGUGGCGAAGGCGGCUCACUGGCCCGGUACUGACGCUGAGGCGCGAAAGCGUGGGGAGCAAACAGG
RNAcentral lists this ribosomal RNA (253 nucleotides) under uncultured bacterium. RNAcentral's name for it is "partial 16S ribosomal RNA". It matches the Rfam family "Bacterial small subunit ribosomal RNA", at positions 524 to 776 of the family's 1533-position model. The record is from RNAcentral.